GAAAUCUGAAGUUACUAAACGAAAGGAGAUCUCCUGCCCAGACAUGGAUGACUUUAAGAAGUCUGAUCAGGAACCUGAUGUUGUAUGGUACAAGGAAUGCAAGCCAAAAAUGUGGAGAAGCAUAAUAAUACAGAAGGGAAAUGCUCUUCUCAUCCAAGAAGUUCAAGAAGAAGAUGGAGGAAACUAUACAUGUGAACUUAAGUAUGAAGGGAAACUUGUAAGGCGAACAACAGAAUUAAAAGUUACAGCAGGAACAUUUCCUCUUUGCUAGUGCAAAAGCAGAUCAAGUGCCCGGACACAUGGCUCUGAAGGACCAUCAAAUCGUAUCUACAGCUGUGCUCUUCGUCCUUCAUAAAGGCCUGUUCUGACUAUUUAAAGCUUCCUCUGUGCUUGAUCAAAAUAAAAAUCAUUUGAAAUAUAAUG
Molecule: long non-coding RNA, 423 nt
Filed under: Rattus norvegicus (Norway rat)
Lineage: Eukaryota; Metazoa; Chordata; Mammalia; Rodentia; Muridae
Description: long non-coding RNA NONRATT030671
Source: RNAcentral